Chelonia mydas (Green sea turtle) is the source of this 2174-nucleotide long non-coding RNA. RefSeq lists it as uncharacterized. NCBI's taxonomy places the organism in Eukaryota, Metazoa, Chordata, Testudines, Cheloniidae. The record is from RefSeq and is a predicted model, not a curated record. The transcript has 2 exons.
CAGAGGAGACACAGGCACACACAGAUUCCCUUUUAUGGAGACUUUGCAUGUAUGGAUGUAAAAACUUAAAAUUGGAAACUAACUUCCUAUCUUUACUAGAGAGGCGGGAAUAUGCAGUCGUAGCCUGGAAGAACAAACAGCCUUGCUCCUGACUCCAUGUGUUCCUUGAAGACCAUUUGAUAAGAGGCCUUCAGCGGUGAGGAGAAAGUACAUCAAGGUUCUUGAUCUGGGGGUCACAACCAAGAGUCAGGGAUCAAGACUAUGUUGUCCUUUUCAUACUCCCGAAUGGGAAGACGGUCCUAGCUUGAUGGGAGAAGGGUUCUGCAGGUGGAUGAGGAGACAGCGGAAGGAAAAUCCUGGAAUGGAGAAGUUUGACCUAUUUCUUUUUCCAACACAAAAUUCUAAACUUUAGAAAUUUGCACUAAAACCUUUUAGAAAACAACUGCUAAUGAGUUCUCACCUGUUACGUAAUUCUUUAAAUCAAGUUCGUUGCUGAGAGGGUUGUUGCUCUUGAACAUGUAUAAGUUGAAUGGAGCAGGCUCCUUACCAAUAUUUUUCCACAUUGUGUAAUCAGGCGAUGUCCAACGCCCAGCUAGAACAUCAUAGUCUCUCUGAGUAAAAUGAACCAGCUUGGUCAGAGGAUCAUACAGCCCUCCAUGAAAUCCAAUGACCAAUUGAAAGUCAGGGUUGGAAUCAUAAUAUAUCUCUCCAUAUGCAGUGUACUGAAGCUGCUUGAUCAUGAGGCCAUUAAUACUGAAUACCGCCAGUGGUGUACCUGUGUUAUCGGAGGCAACAUAGUAUUCUUCUCCACUGCUGCUUUCCAUUGCAAACAGAUGGCCUUGUAGAUCAUAGUAUAGAGAAGUAAUUUCUGAAUUGGAAUGAUUGUAAACAUGUGUCAUUCUCGUUGGGUUGUGAAGGUCAGCGUAAAAGUACUGAAGAUGGUGUCCCAAGUUAGUCUUACAAGAAGCCCUUCGCCCUAACCCAUCAUAACGGUACUGAAUACUCCAUCCACUUGCUUUGUUGUAAGCUCUUGUUAAGAGACCUUUUGAGUUGUACUCAAAUAUAUCUGAGCCUCGUUGACAUAGGAACCCAUCAUCAUCAAUUUUGUACUGCAUGUCACCCAGACGUGUAAUCCUGUCUCUUAGAUCAUAGCGUAGCGGCAUCAACCGUACGCUGUUCCCUGGAUUCAAGAGAUGAAGAUUCCCAUUCAGAUCAUAACUAUAACGCCAGGUUGGUCUGUCAUUUACUGCCACACUUUGGAGCUGCCCAUCUCCAUCAUAAUCAUAGGUAUAUUUGGUUGUGUUGGCAUAAGGUCCAAGCUUCAGUUCUCUCUUUGUUACUCUUCCCAUGCUGUCAUACUGGACUGUCAUCCAAUACAUGAGUGAUCGGAACAUUUCAUACUGAACUUCUUUAAUACGCCCAUGGGUAUCAAAGUGUUUACUCAGUGUCAUCACCGCUGUAGUAAUUAUUUGAUUUAUAUCAUAAUAAAUGACUCCAAAUUUGCCAAAAUGCUCUACUUUGCCAGAGAUCUCAUCAUAACGAUAAAGAUCAACAGGAAGAGGAGUCUCACUUAUUAUAGGCUUGAUGCUAGCAAUCCGAAAGCUAUUAUCAUGAUAGGUGUAAUCAAACCUUGCAUUGACCAUGCCUUCUUCAGAAAAUCUGUAGAUUUGUUUGUCAACCAGUGGUCCAAUUUUACGGUACCGGAUUGUGCAAGAAAAGCCGCCACUCUGUAAGUUAACCAUUUUCAGAACUCCAGUAGUUUCAUCAUAUCCAAAAGUAACUGCAGUGCUAUCAUAAACAAUUUCAGACAGCUUGGAUAGUUUCCCGUACUUGUAGAAGACUUGUCGACCAGUUCCUAAAAAAGAUGUUUUCAAAAUCCUCCCAUCAUCACUGUAAUCAAAAAUCACUGAAGCAUUGCUUUCAGGAGGGUUAUAAAUAUUCCUAAUGUAGCCAAUAGAUGUAUGAGUGGACAUGCUGUGCCGAGCAACACUAGGCAUGGUGACAGCCUGGAGACGGUCUGUGGAAUCGUAUUCAAAGAUGUACUGCCGUUGGCUCUGAAGCAGUAGUACCAUGGACUAUUACAAAAAUAAAAAGACAAAAGAUUAUAUAUUUUUAGUGUCUUUCCAUUUCUUUCGCUUUCUGAACUUAUGGGGGAAAAAGCAAAUUUUUAAAUC